ACGCAGAUAUUUAAUCGGUAAAGAAGAAGAGACAAGGAGAAGAGGCGUAGAAUAAGAUGAAAAAGAAAAGAUUGGGUGGCCGACGAGGCGCGCAACGCUUCAGAUCAUUUGCAGAGUUAACCAACCCUGUGACAUGAUUUACCGGAGAUGAAAGACAGAUUCCGUAUUAUAGUUUAUUGGUGGGAUGAGAGUGAAUACGCCACAAACUGUCCCAACGAUCAAGAUCUUUUAUUAGAACCUUGAAUUACACUCGUGGUUUUUCACAUACGCUCCUAGUUGAAUAUCACCCUAAAGCUGAUGGAAAGCGCGUGAAACAGGUGUAACUGUUUCUGUGUGUUUGCGGUGGUAUUCCCGCGGGUAUCUUUCGGGAGACGGAUUAUCAGAGAUAAAGGAGAGGCUGGUGGAGAAUUAUGAAGAGAGAGAGAGAGAGAGAGAGCGGGACAAAAAGACCGCCGCGAAUCGCAGGGAGGCCAAACCGCCGCAAAUUCGAGAACGGGACUCCGCUUGGCCAGCCAGGGCAGAGCGUAGGGUGGAAAGGCGAACGGGCCGGGUGUCUUAGCGGCGGCGACC
Molecule: non-coding RNA, 570 nt
Organism: Linepithema humile (Argentine ant)
Lineage: Eukaryota; Metazoa; Arthropoda; Insecta; Hymenoptera; Formicidae
Source: RefSeq, a predicted model, not a curated record